GACGAACGCUGGCGGCAUGCUUAACACAUGCAAGUCGAACGGAAAGGCCCUGCUUUUGUGGGGUGCUCGAGUGGCGAACGGGUGAGUAACACGUGAGUAACCUGCCCUUGACUUUGGGAUAACUUCAGGAAACUGGGGCUAAUACCGGAUAGGAGCUCCUGCUGCAUGGUGGGGGUUGGAAAGUUUCGGCGGUUGGGGAUGGACUCGCGGCUUAUCAGCUUGUUGGUGGGGUAGUGGCUUACCAAGGCUUUGACGGGUAGCCGGCCUGAGAGGGUGACCGGCCACAUUGGGACUGCGAUACGGCCCAGACUCCUACGGGAGGCAGCAGUGGGGAAUAUUGCACAAUGGGCGGAAGCCUGAUGCAGCAACGCCGCGUGCGGGAUGACGGCCUUCGGGUUGAAAACCGCUUUCGCCUGUGACGAAGCGUGAGUGACGGUAAUGGGUAAAGAGGCACCGGCUAACUACGUG
RNAcentral lists this ribosomal RNA (468 nucleotides) under uncultured bacterium. Its description in RNAcentral is "partial 16S ribosomal RNA". It matches the Rfam family "Bacterial small subunit ribosomal RNA", at positions 28 to 507 of the family's 1533-position model. The record is from RNAcentral.